UUCCAUGAAUUCGUAACUAUAAAGAAACAACUGUAAGACAAAACGUAGUUAAAAGGCCAGCUUAAAAUUAUGGUUGUAUAAAUAAUCUAUAAACCACUCUUUAGUGAGUAAUUUAGGACCAUAUAUCAUGUAGCAGUCUGGUUGAGGCCAGACAGUUCUUUUUCCUUAGCCUUUAUUCAUGUUUGUAACUUUUUCUUCUUAUGCAUAGUCCCAAACGCCAGCCAUCCUACCCUCCAAAGUGUCUUGCACCCCAAAGUCCAUAAUCUUCCAAUUACAAGUAAUCAUAGCUUUUCCCUAAAUUUACUGCAGUCAUCAGUGUCAAGUGACAAUGCCAAAUACUGUAUAUGAAUGCUCGUCGUGAGACGUCGUAUAUGCCGCAGAGUUGUAGAAGCAUGCAUGUCCGAGUGACAUCAUAGGGAAUAAUGUGGGGAGGUGAAACGCUGAGGCCCAGGGAGCUUUGUCGCACAUCUCCACAGAGAUUAACGUUUUUUAUACUGCUGUUCUAACGCCUGAGAUACUGCUAAAUGCAGUAAUAUUUGUUCUACAGGACUAUACUAAUUAUGCUGUUUCAGCCUCGUUUUAUUGUUCGGUAACACUACAUUACAACUUAUAUAAUUCAAUCUUAUCAGUAAAAUAAACCAUCUGUCACAUUUCUCAAGUUAUCAGUACCGUGUAUAGGGUUCGUGAUAAUGCUCCACUCUUACACAACCUACCUCUCAUCCAGCCCCCACCUCCUCUAUUCCCCUCCCCCAACCCCACACACACUACAGUGGGCGACAUCUGUUGGCCGACCAUAGCAUUUCCCCCAGCUGUUUCCCAACUUCAAACUCAGGUUAUUCGAACUCUCACUGUGGCUGGGUAGUGGACACGACUUUUGUGCACGAUAGUACAAUGUAUAUGUGUAUGAUCAUGUGAACCAGAUCCCCCCAAAAAUUAUGAUGACAUUUUUCAAACCAAAACUGUUCUUUCAUUACCUUGCUCUUGGAUUAAAAUAUUUUCUUCCUUUCCUGGAGUAAGAUGUGGCAAACCUUCAAAUUCCACAUCAUCCAUAACACCAAGAAUUAUUUCUUCAGUUUUGGUGAUGGGUGGACAGUCAGCUGGACCUCCACCUGUUAGGUACAGUAGAUUAUAAUUUGCCCGCGACUCGUCAAUCAUCGUUUUUUAGCGUCCAUCCUGGGCUGGGUGUGGAGCAGUGGCCAACACCAUUACUACUGCCACCUCAUCACCUCACAUUGAUUUCCAUGACUAAUAAACGUAUUACAGGGUGGACAAGUUGUUUUCUAUCCAACAAUCCAUUCUUAUUUUUUUAUCAUUUAAUUGUGUUUUAUAUCCUCGAGAGAGGUUGGGGAGAGGUUGAAGUGAUCAAGUCACCAUUCAUUAUUAUUUUUUCAAUUAAUAUUUUUUUCAAGAACGGUAGUGACGAGAGGUGGAAAUAAUCAAGUAUAACAGCCUCGUUUAGUGUGACCGGUGGUGAGCAAGCCACGCCCCCUCCUCUCUUGUGUUGUCAUAUCAGGGGCUUUCUCUAAAUAGGGAAGCCAGACGCCUUAUGAGCCGUAACGACUGCCAAAAGCUCACUCGCAUUCCUCCGCCGAGUCUUAAGUAAAGGCAUA
Molecule: long non-coding RNA, 1610 nt
Organism: Homarus americanus (American lobster)
Lineage: Eukaryota; Metazoa; Arthropoda; Malacostraca; Decapoda; Nephropidae
Exons: 2
Source: RefSeq, a predicted model, not a curated record